RNAcentral lists this ribosomal RNA (515 nucleotides) under uncultured bacterium. RNAcentral describes it as "partial 16S ribosomal RNA". It matches the Rfam family "Bacterial small subunit ribosomal RNA", at positions 28 to 523 of the family's 1533-position model. The record is from RNAcentral.
GAUGAACGCUGGCGGCGUGCCUAAUACAUGCAAGUCGAGCGAAUGGAUUAAGAGCUUGCUCUUAUGAAGUUAGCGGCGGACGGGUGAGUAACACGUGGGUAACCUGCCCAUAAGACUGGGAUAACUCCGGGAAACCGGGGCUAAUACCGGAUAACAUUUUGAACCGCAUGGUUCGAAAUUGAAAGGCGGCUUCGGCUGUCACUUAUGGAUGGACCCGCGUCGCAUUAGCUAGUUGGUGAGGUAACGGCUCACCAAGACAACGAUGCGUAGCCGACCUGAGAGGGUGAUCGGCCACACUAGGACUGAGACACGGCCCAGACUCCUACGGGAGGCAGCAGUAGGGAAUCUUCCGCAAUGGACGAAAGUCUGGCGGAGCAACGCCGCGUGAGUGAUGAAGGCUUUCGGGUCGUAAAACUCUGUUGUUAGGGAAGAACAAGUGCUAGUUGAAUAAGCUGGCACCUUGACGGUACCUAACCAGAAAGCCACGGCUAACUACGUGCCAGCCGCCGCGGUAA